This 2055-nucleotide long non-coding RNA is filed under the name Homo sapiens (human). RNAcentral's name for it is "HSALNT0386784". Lineage: Eukaryota; Metazoa; Chordata; Mammalia; Primates; Hominidae. The record is from RNAcentral.
CUGCAAAACAGGUGUGAGAGAAAGUAAUACUGGCAACAAAAAGUUCUAUUCAGCAUUUGAACUAUUUCUACUACUGCUUUAAGGAGACAAUAGUUUUGGAGUAACAGUUUUGGUUUGCUUCAAAUGCUUGUGAGACCUACUAUAGUCCAUGUAAAUUUGAAUAUAUAUGCAUAUGGUAAUUUCUCUCCAAACCAGCCAACGGACAUAGCAAUGCUGUUAACAGCAGAUUAUACCGCUUAGCCAAGAGUAGUAUCAUUCUGUAUUAGUUAUUCUAAGCAGUCCCUAUAGUUAAGAUAUAUGUAAGAAGAGUAAAUUUCAUUCCAAGUAUCAUUUCACAAGAGUUUUAGUUAAUAGUGGGGUGGCCAAACUAUACACUAUUAAAAUCAAACACAUGGAAUCAAAGACCCUAACAAAGUAUAGUACCAUGUUCUACAUCAAAUUCAGAUUAAAACUCAAUCCUUGACUGCCUAUAAAGGUAAAAUCUGCAAAUGUUAAAAUCAGUAAUAUAGAUAAUAAUACAAAUAGAAACAAUAGGGAUACUUCAACAAAUGUUUAUUUCAUACCUGACACUAUGCUGAAAAUGUUUAAUUAUUACAAAACUAUGUCUAUUUUGCAAAUAAGAAAAAUGAGAUUCAGAGUCACACAAUUAGUACAUAAUGACAUCAGGGUAGGAACCUGUGUCGGUUUCAUAAAACCUAGGUUCUUUUCAGGAAAACCAAAUUAUUUUAUAUAUAGUUAAAAUAAAUUAAGCAGAAGAGAGCUCAAACCACUUUAUGUGUUAACUUAUUCACACCAAGAAACCUAAAAAAGCUAUGUUUUAAAAUUACCAUUAUUUCAUUAAGUCCAAUAUAUCAUGAUUUAAAAGAUACACCAUUUUUUUUUUUUUUUUUUUUUUUUUUUGAGACGGAGUCUUGCUGUCGCCCAGGCUGGAGUGCAGUGGCGCAAUCUCGGCUCACUGCAGGCUCCGCCCCCUGGGGUUCACGCCAUUCUCCUGCCUCAGCCUCCCGAGUAGCUGGGACUACAGGCGCCCGCCACCUCGCCCGGCUAAUUUUUUUGUAUUUUUAGUAGAGACGGGGUUUCACCGUGUUAGCCAGGAUGGUCUCGAUCUCCUGACCUCGUGAUCCGCCCGCCUCGGCCUCCCAAAGUGCUGGGAUUACAGGAGUGAGCCACCGCGCCCGGCCAAGAUACACCAUUUUUUACGCACCACUGCUGAAUAAUAAAGAAUACAGCUGGUCUUUGUCCCUGGUUCCUGUGAGGAGACUCUAAUCCUUAGCAUUUCCUGAAUAAUAGGAGUGUCUUUGUUAUUCAUGACCCCCUUGGAUCACCCCCCAGUUUAUGCUAAGAGAUGAGAAGACUCAGGACAGCGGCUGGUCACCAGAAAAGACCAACCACCAUGUGAUUAGAGGGUUGGGGCUCUGAGCCACCCUGACCUGGGUGGGGAAGCACAGGGGGCUGGAGACUGAGUUGAAUCAUGAGGUCAAAGAUUCAACCAAUUAUGCCUUCAUAAUGAUUCCCCAAUAAAAACAUUGUACUGAACACCAGUGGAGUUUCCCAGCUGAUGAACUGUUCGAUAUGGUAGGAGGGUGACAGGCCUUGAUUCCACUGGGAGAGGGUACAAAGUUCUGUAUUUGGGACUCUUCUAGACCUCACCCUAUGUGUCUCUUCAGUUGGCUGGUGCUGAUUUGCAUCAAGCUAAAACUGUAAUUACAGGAAUGUCAAGCCUCUGAGCCCAAGACUGCCUGUACACAUCCAGAUGGCCUGAGGCAACUGAAGAACCACAAGAGAAGUGAAAAUGGCCGGCUCCUGCCUUAACUGAUGACAUUACCUUGUGAAAUUCCUUCUCCUGGACAAUGAGUCUCAGAAGCUCCUCCACUGAGCAUCUUGUAACCCCCAACCCUGCCCGCAAGAGCAGGUUGACUGUAAUUUUCCACUACCUACCCAAAUCCUAUAAAACUGCCCCACCCCAUCUCCCUUUGCUGAUUCCUUUUUCCGACUCAGCCCGCCUGCACCCAUGUGAUUAAAAAGCUUUAUUGCUCACACAAAGCCUGUUUGGUG